RNAcentral lists this small RNA (141 nucleotides) under Arenibacter sp. ARW7G5Y1. Its description in RNAcentral is "Flavo-1 RNA". It matches the Rfam family "Flavo-1 RNA". Lineage: Bacteria; Pseudomonadati; Bacteroidota; Flavobacteriia; Flavobacteriales; Flavobacteriaceae. The record is from RNAcentral.
GUUUUGCGUAAGCGAUUGCAGUGACAUCCUUUUAUUUUUAUGGAAGACAAACUGUCUUGGGUGUAAUUCUGUUAUUUUAAGCGAUGCCCCAAAGUAAUACUUCCAUAAAAAUAAAAGAUAUAACGGAAAGCGCGACCCUUU